Molecule: long non-coding RNA, 806 nt
Organism: Sapajus apella (tufted capuchin)
Lineage: Eukaryota; Metazoa; Chordata; Mammalia; Primates; Cebidae
Exons: 3
Source: RefSeq, a predicted model, not a curated record
GACUGUGUGGUGGACUUUCCAAUGAUUCAGGAUUCGGCCUUUCCCUUCGGAUUUUUCCUCCACCUGCCUACUGCCCCCGCCAGGGGAUACCCGCAGGCUACAGGGGGUCACGGAAGGUCAACCCUGAGCAGAAGGAGAAGUGGCCUCUACCCUGGGGCUUGAGAAGUCUACCCGUGCCUGCACCCACCAGGCUUGCUGGCCUCUUCCUUCUCAUCCAGGAGGCCUCUCCUCCAGCCUCACAGAGGUGGGAAACCUGCUGGAGGCUCUCACCUGUCUUUUGGGGAAGACCCCGAGGCUGGCCCUGUUGGCAGGACCCUUCCUGAGUCCACCGUUUCUCUGGGUCUCACCACUUCUCCAAGCCCCUAGGCUGCCUCCUCUCUAUCGUGUCUGGGACCCCAGGGGCAGCACUUCCAUUCUGCACAAGCUUGCAGAGUCAAAAUGAACUCUAACUCAUGGGAUGGACAAAAUGAAAGAUGUAAGGUUUUCAGGGCUAAAAAGCCUCUUUUUACACAAAAUCAAAUUUUAAAAGAACAUUGACCUCAAAACAGUAAUACUGUACUGGUUAUACAAUAGAAAUAACUCUACAAAUGGAAUCACAUCCUUAAUGAACACCUGUGGCUACCCAACUUUUCAUACAUCUUAUUGUUUACAGGCCUUGCUGUGAAUGCUCUCUUGCUCUAUCUCAAGUAUUUCCACCAAAGAGUUCUUUCCAACUUUAUUUCCUAUAUUAUGAAAAACGAAGUUUUUUACAACAUUCUAUCGAAGUAUAUGAUGGAUAAUGUAUACUAUAUUAAAUAAACCAUAAU